CACAAAGAACAGCAGUAGAUUGGUAUUCCUAGAUCUUCACGCAAAUCCUGUCAAUUACCAAUAACAUACCAUCACGCCCAAAGCGCACAUUAGCACUAAUAGCCAUCUUCUCCCAGAAAUAGGCGGGACUUUUCGAAACUAUUACAUCUUUCCCCCCUAAAAUUUCUGCCACCCACUGUUUUCUAUCUCUUUUUUGCCUCUUAACAAAACCCUAACCCGCCAAUAGUUUUUCCCCUUAAUAAUCUUAAUCUAAAUAAAUAGAGUAAUAGUAAAUACUACUAGUUGGGGCAGGGCAAAAAGCGCACAACGUUGAAAGAAUUUGAAGCGAUAAAGGCGAUGACGGAUAAGGGGCAAGAUGGUAAUAGUAUAUCCGCCAUUAAUGGCGGUGACAAUCAAGAAUUACUGCUAGUUAAAAAGGUACAAGUACAAGAAGAGAUUACCCUUUUCACAGAAGAAGGAAGCCAAAACGGCUGCGUUGACGGUGUCGUUUCGGUUAGCCAAAACAGUACUAGCCUUUUUGGGGAGGAAAAGUCUGAAAAUAAGGCAGAGGGAAUGGAGGAUUCGACUAUUGUCAAGGUAGAGAACGAAACUGGGGAUACUAUUAUGAAGGAAGCUGAGGGAGAGGGAAUGGAAUCUCCGGUGGAGGAGAGGAAGUGCGAGAAGGAAACCGCGACUAUUAUGGAGGAGAAUUUAGAUCUAAAAAAAGAAGAAGGGAUGGUCUUGACGGAAGUCGUUAAAAAACCAAAAGGAAAAAGGGGGAGACCGCCCAACAAAGAUAAGCAAAAGAAAAACAUUGAUAAUAAAGAGAAGAAAAGCAAUAAUCUUGGUAGGAAAAAGAAAGAGGAAAGCGAUAGUGAGAGAGAAGAGAAAGAGGAGAAAGAGAAGAAAAGCAAUAAUCUUGGCAGGAAAAAGAAAGAGGAGAGUGAUAGUGAGAGAGAAGAGGAGGAGGAGGAGAAAGAGAAAGAGAAGAUUGAUUCUGAUGAAGUGACUGCUGGUAGGCCAAGGAAGUCAAGUUUGAAAGCUAGGGAGAAGUUAAGUGUAUAUACACAGGAAAUGGCUGAAUGGGAUGAAGAAGACCGCAAGACAAGUAAGAAAAGAAGGGCUAGGAGGAAAACACAAGAGAACGGUGAUUGUCAGAAAAAGCAUGGAAGAAAGAGGUUUGUGGAAAAUGGUGGAGAUUCGGAUAGCAAAGAGGAGGGAAAUGGGAAUAAAAAACAUAAGGCUGAGAGAGAAGAGUCAGAGUCUGGAAAACAUUCUUUAGGCCAAAGGAAACUUCCACAAGAUAAUGCAUCAAAUCCCCGUAAUAGAAAGAGGAAGGAUGAGAAUGGUAAUGAGAUUCAAUCAAAUAUGUGUCAUCAGUGCCAGAGGAAUGACAAAGGAAGGGUUGUUCGCUGCACCAACUGUAAAACAAAGCGAUACUGUGUUCCUUGCAUGGCCACAUGGUACCCUGGGAUGCCAGAGGAGGCUUUUGAAGAGUCUUGUCCUGUUUGUCGUAGAAACUGUAAUUGCAAAUCAUGUUUGCGGUUGGACGGACCAAUAAAGGAUUUGAAGAACUUAAAAUUUGAGAUUAGCAAAGAAGAAAAGGUUCAAUAUUCUAAAUUUAUUUUGCAACAACUUUUGCCUUUCUUGAGAAAAUUUAACGCAGAGCAAGUGGUGGAGAUGGAGAUUGAAGCUAAGAUUCAAGGGUUACCAGUGUCAGAGUUAAUGCUGCAGAAGGCAAAUUGUCAGGAGAAUGAGCGAAUGUACUGCAACAACUGCAAAACAUCCAUUUUUGAUUUUCACAGAAAUUGUUCCAGUUGUUCCUAUGAUCUUUGCCUUACUUGUUGCCGGGAGCUUAGAGAUGGUCACCUUAAGGGAGGUGAAGUAGAAGUCAUCAUGGAUUUCGUUGACAAAGGGGUUGCUUAUCUGCAUGGUGAUAUGGAAGCUGAUUCUUCACCAGGUAUCAGAACUAGACCUUCAAGAAAGCCUAGAUUUCCCAAGAAGAUGGUUGAAAAUGAUUCCGAGGGUGAUGCCAGGUUGGCAUUUGAAAUGGAACCUGGGGAUAAUGGAAGGAUUCUGCCAGAGAAUUCUGGUGGUCCUGCUGGUGAAUGGAAAUCCAAUGAAGAUGGUAGCAUCCCUUGUCCACCAGAGAAUUUUGGUGGUUGUGGUAAGGGAAAUUUAGAGCUGAAGUGCCUGCUGCUGAAAAAGCCAAAACAACAUUCGGUCUCUGAGUUGUUGGAAAAAGCUGAAGACAUUGCCAAAAAAUUCGAAUGGGAAGACAAGCCUGAAGUUCCUCAGGGACUAUGCUUCUGUAGAAAUUUAGUGGAUGAAAAUGAUAUGCAGGAAAGUAAAAUGUGUAAAGCAGCAUCUCGUGACGGUUGUGAUGACAACUAUUUAUACUGUCCAGCAGCUAAAGAUCUUAAGCAGGAGGAUCUGAAGCAUUUCCAAUGUCACUGGCGGAAAGGUGAGCCUGUGAUUGUCCGCAAUGUGCUUGAGACUGGGUCAGGGUUAAGCUGGGAGCCCAUGGUUAUGUGGCGAGCUUGUCGCCAGAUAAAGAACUUAAACCACCCUCUUCUUUUGGAUGUCAUUGCUAUCAACUGCUUAGAUUGGUGUGAGGUAGAAGUUAACAUCCACCAGUUUUUUAAGGGAUAUAUGGAAGGUCGAACUGAUAAUGCUGGGUGGCCCCAGAUUCUGAAAUUGAAAGAUUGGCCUCCAUCAGAUUUAUUUGAUGAACGAUUACCUCGUCAUGGCGCAGAGUUUGUUAACAGCUUGCCUUUUAAGGAGUACACACAUCCACAAAGUGGCUACCUAAAUCUUGCUGUCAAACUGCCAGACAAAUCAUUGAAGCCCGACAUGGGACCAAAGACAUAUAUUGCUUAUGGAGUUCCUCAGGAGCUGGGGCGUGGAGACUCUGUCACUAAGCUGCAUUGUGAUAUGUCCGAUGCGGUGAAUGUGUUGACACAUACUCAAGCAAUAAACCUGACGCCUAAGCAGCUUUCAGAGAUGGAAAAAGUAAAAAGAAACCAUGCUGCCCAAGAUAAAAAGGAACUUCAGAUGGUUGGGGAGGAGAAACAAUGCAAAAAUGAAGUAUCAUCUGAGUUGAUUGAUGACCACUCCGUGCAAGGUGAGAGUAGUAGAAGAGACGAAGAAAAAACUGAUCUAUUUGAAGUUCAAAGCUUGAGUGGUGAACCAAAUUGUGGCAAUCAGUCAACUAUUCCAUCAGCUUCUUGUGUGGAACCAGAGGGAGAUACUGGCACUGACGUGGUAAUAAAUGGUGCAGUAAGUUCUACUAGCACUUGUGAAGCAAAUGGAGGAAUUAAAAUUGAUAAUGAUAAAAGUGAUGAAUGCAAAGAUAAACCAGUGUUUGGAAAAAGUGAAGUAUUUGAGGAUAUAGAAGGGGGUGCACUCUGGGACAUCUUUAGAAGGCAAGAUGUUGCCAAGUUAGAGGAAUAUCUCAAGAAGCACUUUAAGGAAUUCAGGCAUAUCUACUGUUGCCCAGUACCGCAGGUUGUUCACCCCAUACAUGAUCAAACAUUUUACUUGACUGAGGAUCACAAAAGGAAGCUUAAGGAAGAGUAUGGAGUUGAACCAUGGACUUUCGUUCAAAAUUUAGGGGAUGCAGUUUUUAUACCUGCGGGCUGCCCUCAUCAAGUUAGAAACUUGAAGUGAUUAAAAAAUGUCUCAACCCGACUGGCUUAGAAAUAUGGUACAAGAGCUAAUGCGACCAAUAGGAGCAAAGUUACAUAUUUUUAUUUGUAGCUAUACAUUUACCGGCGGAAUUUGGCACCAAAAACAUCUAAUUGGUACUUACAGCAACGUUCAAUGCUGUACAAGAUGCUUGGAGGUUGUGAGGGAAGAAAUAAAAAAAUAUGUUUAGGAAAAAAAGGAGCUAAAACGUCAAAUGUUACAUCAACCAAAUGUGACUAAUCUUGAUGAUGAUGAUGAUUAUGAAAAUAAGGUGAAGCUGUUGAUUUGUCCCUUCCUUCAAAAUCACAAAAAGGGGCAAACGCAAACAAUGCAACAAUCUCUUCAAGUUAUGGAUCAACUGGUAUGAAAGGUUCCUUUAGAUUGUUACUUUCAAUAGAUGCUAGUUGAUAAUGUAGGGACAAGCGAUAAAAAAAGUUUGCAAGCCACUGCCAAGGGUAUUUUGACGGAGCGUGCAAUUGCGGUUUUUUCACGAUGAAUGUACGAUGCAGGGCUCCCCUUCAAUUGUAUCAACUAUACCGACACUUUUGGAGCCUUGAUUGACGCCGUCGGCCAUUAUGGUGCAGGAAUGUAGCCACCCACUUAUCAUGAAGUUAGUAACUCUUAUCAUGAAGUGGACGGCAAGAUUCCAUCAAGAUGUUCUCUUUGUUUCAGAGCACCAUAGAGAAGAUUGGAGCAGAGAAUGUUGCUUAAGUUGUUACAGAUAAUGCAGUUAAAAAUGUUAAAGUAGGUGCUAUGUUGAAGGGAGUGUUCCCACACAUAUAUUGGACUCCAUGUGCAGUUUAUUGUAUAAAUUUGAUGUUCGGAGAUAUUUUCAAGGAAAGACCCUUCACAGGAGUUUUCAUUAAGGCAGUUAGGGCAGUUUCUUACAUUGUUCAAAGGCCUUUGUUGUUGAACUUGAUGAGGAGAUUCACAAAACUAAAAAACUUGGUGAAACCUGGCAAGGCCAGAUUUGCUAUUGCCUAUUGCUUUCUUGACUUUGCAACGUAUGCACACGCAAAGGCCAAUUUGAAAAGCUUGUUCAUUUCAGAUGAAUGGAACAAUAGUAAAUUUGUAAAAGAAGUUACGGGAAAAGAAGUUGCAUGCAUAAUGAUGUCUUACACUUUUUGGAAUAGUGUUGUUCAUGCUCUUAAAGUUGGCGGGCUCUUGAUUAAGGUACUUCAUGGGGAGCAAAAACCACUCAUGGGCUACCUUUUUGAAGUUAUGGAUAAGGUUAAGGAGUUUAUUUGAAAAUCAUUUAGUGACCCGCAUAAAUAUGCAAAGGUCUUUGACAUCAUUGAUAAAAGGUGAGCGGAUCAACUUUAUCAACCUUUGCAUGCCGCUGGGAAUAUAUUGAACCUAUCACUCUUUAAUGAUAACAAUGAGAUGAAAUUACUAAAUCCAAAAGUGACGAAGGAAUUCUAUGAGUGUGUUGCUAUGUUGGUUCCCGAUGAAGAUGAGCAAGAUAAAAUAAGGGAUCAACUAAGUGCUUAUAGUAAUGCUGAUGGAACUUUUGGAAUAGGAAUGACUAUAAGACAAAGAAAGAAGAAGUCACCAGUUGUAUGUCGGAGGCUUUAUGGUGGAGACACUCCAGAUUUACAAAAGCUUGCCAUUAAAGUUCAGGUCUAACUUGUAGCUCAUCCGGAUGUGAGAGAAACUGGAGCGUGUUUGAACAUAUUCAUAGCAAGAAGAGGAAUAGACUAGUGUCUCAAUUGUCUCAACUCCUAAAGCGCCUCAAUGACCAAUUCUUAAAAUACAAUAGAACAUUGAGGCAUCCUUACAACACUCGCAAUGUAAUUGAUCUAAUUGGUUUGGACAAUGUUGAUGAUGCUAAUAAAUGGCUAACCAGAUUUGAGAGUGCUGAAGAUGAAGCAAUUUUUGAGGUUAGAUUCUGAUUUCACUUUCCGUGUUGUUGCCGAGGCAAUGAGAGUUGAGGAGAAACCACUAUGAUUUAAGGGGGAAUACUUCAAGCCAACAGAAGAGGGGAAAAAUAGUAGCUACAAAUCAUUCUCUAGCUGAUGAGGUUGAAGAAGAUGAAUGAUGAUGGAGGAAUACCAGAUUUUGACAAUCUUGUAGAAGAAUAAGAAUUAGAUGUUGAACAAUUAAUAGCUUUGAUUUUGUUUGUCCUAUGGUCUAUGGAGGAUUUUGUGAUAUCUACUUUUUAGUUUUUAAUAUGAACUUUUGCUUAUGUA
RNA transcript from Lycium barbarum (goji berry), 5855 nucleotides. It is a transcript of the gene named lysine-specific demethylase JMJ29-like, with no coding region annotated. NCBI's taxonomy places the organism in Eukaryota, Viridiplantae, Streptophyta, Magnoliopsida, Solanales, Solanaceae. The record is from RefSeq and is a predicted model, not a curated record. The transcript is spliced from 13 exons.